AUUGAACGCUGGCGGAAUGCUUUACACAUGCAAGUCGAACGGCAGCACGGACUUCGGUCUGGUGGCGAGUGGCGAACGGGUGAGUAAUACAUCGGAAAGUGCCCAGUCGUGGGGGAUAACGUAGCGAAAGCUACGCUAAUACCGCAUAAGAUCUACGGAUGAAAGCGGGGGAUCGCAAGAACUCGCGCGAUUGGAGCGGCCGAUGGCAGAUUAGGUAGUUGGUAGGGUAAAGGCAUACCAAGCCGACGAUCUGUAGCGGGUCUGGGAGGAUGAUCAGCCACACCUGGAAUGAGACACGGCCCAGACUCCUACGGGAGGCAGCAGUGGGUAAUUUUGGACAAUGGACUCAAGUCUGUUCCAGCCAUUCCGCGUGCAGGAUGAAGGCCCUCGGGUUGUAAACUGCUUUUGUACAGAACGAAAAGGCUCUGGUUAAUACCUGGGGCUCAUGACGGUACUGUAAGAAUAAGCACCGGCUAACUACGUGCCAGCCGCCGCCGUAA
This 500-nucleotide ribosomal RNA is filed under the name uncultured bacterium. RNAcentral describes it as "partial 16S ribosomal RNA". It matches the Rfam family "Bacterial small subunit ribosomal RNA", at positions 30 to 523 of the family's 1533-position model. The record is from RNAcentral.